RNAcentral lists this non-coding RNA (23 nucleotides) under Cricetulus griseus (Chinese hamster). Lineage: Eukaryota; Metazoa; Chordata; Mammalia; Rodentia; Cricetidae. The record is from RNAcentral.
CCAACAGUGACAUGUAUCUCAGC